Molecule: small RNA, 402 nt
Filed under: uncultured Glomus
Lineage: Eukaryota; Fungi; Glomeromycota; Glomeromycetes; Glomerales; Glomeraceae
Description: SSU rRNA
Rfam family: Eukaryotic small subunit ribosomal RNA
Source: RNAcentral
AGCAGCCGCGGUAAUUCCAGCUCCAAUAGCGUAUAUUAAAGUUGUUGCAGUUAAAAAGCUCGUAGUUGAAUUUCGGGGUCAGUAGAUUGGUCGUGCCACUGGUAUGCACUGGUCUCACUGGCUCCUCCUUCCUGGCGAACCGUAAUGCCAUUAAUUUGGUGUUGCGGGGGAGACUGGACUGUUACUUUGAAAAAUUAGAGUGUUUAAAGCAGGCUAACGCUUGAAUACAUUAGCAUGGAAUAAUGAAAUAGGACGUUCGAUUCUAUUUUGUUGGUUUCUAGGAUUGACGUAAUGAUUAAUAGGGAUAGUUGGGGGCAUUAGUAUUCAAUUGUCAGAGGUGAAAUUCUUGGAUUUAUUGAAGACUAACUACUGCGAAAGCAUUUGCCAAGGAUGUUUUCAUUA